GAUACCUACGGGGCGCAGCAGUGGGGAAUAUUGGGCAAUGGGCGCAAGCCUGACCCAGCAACGCCGCGUGAAGGAAGAAGGCUUUCGGGUUGUAAACUUCUUUUCUCAGGGACGAAGCAAGUGACGGUACCUGAGGAAUAAGCCACGGCUAACUACGUGCCAGCAGCCGCGGUAAUACGUAGGUGGCAAGCGUUAUCCGGAUUUACUGGGUGUAAAGGGCGUGUAGGCGGGACUGCAAGUCAGAUGUGAAAACCACGGGCUCAACCUGUGGACUGCAUUUGAAACUGGAGUUCUUGAGUACUGGG
RNAcentral lists this ribosomal RNA (305 nucleotides) under uncultured bacterium. RNAcentral's name for it is "bacterial SSU rRNA". It matches the Rfam family "Bacterial small subunit ribosomal RNA", at positions 334 to 653 of the family's 1533-position model. The record is from RNAcentral.